Molecule: ribosomal RNA, 675 nt
Filed under: Inocybe nitidiuscula
Lineage: Eukaryota; Fungi; Basidiomycota; Agaricomycetes; Agaricales; Inocybaceae
Description: eukaryotic LSU rRNA
Rfam family: Eukaryotic large subunit ribosomal RNA
Source: RNAcentral
UUGACCUCAAAUCAGGUAGGACUACCCGCUGAACUUAAGCAUAUCAAUAAGCGGAGGAAAAGAAACUAACAAGGAUUCCCCUAGUAACUGCGAGUGAAGCGGGAAGAGCUCAAAUUUGAAAUCUGGCGGUUCUUGACCGUCCGAGUUGUAAUCUAGAGAAGUGCUACCUGUGCUGGACCGUGUACAAGUCUCCUGGAAUGGAAGCAUCACAGAGGGUGAGAAUCCCGUCUUUGACACGGACUGCCUGCACGUUGUGGUGUGCUCUCGAAGAGUCGAGUUGUUUGGGAAUGCAGCUCAAAAUGGGUGGUAAAUGCCAUCUAAAGCUAAAUAUUGGCGAGAGACCGAUAGCGAACAAGUACCGUGAGGGAAAGAUGAAAAGAACUUUGGAAAGAGAGUUAAACAGUACGUGAAAUUGCUGAAAGGGAAACGCUUGAAGUCAGUCGCGUCGGCCAGAAAUCAGCCUUGCUUUUGCUUGGUGUACUUUCUUGUUGAUGGGUCAGCAUCAAUUUCGACCGUCGGAUAAAGUCGUUCAGGAAUGUGGCAUCUUCGGAUGUGUUAUAGCCUGGCGUCGCAUACGGUGGUUGGGAUUGAGGAACUCAGCACGCCGCAAGGCCGGGUCUUCUUUGACCACGUCCGUGCUUAGGAUGCUGGCAUAAUGGCUUUAAUCGACCCGUC